AGUUAAUAAGCAAUAGCAGUAUAUCUUGAAAGUAUAAAAAAAAAUCAAAUUGAUUUAUUAACUU
This 64-nucleotide transfer RNA is filed under the name Achilidae gen. 1 sp. n. 1 SX-2018. RNAcentral's name for it is "tRNA-Ser". The record is from RNAcentral. Lineage: Eukaryota; Metazoa; Arthropoda; Insecta; Hemiptera; Achilidae.